RNAcentral lists this non-coding RNA (101 nucleotides) under Aequorivita viscosa. The record is from RNAcentral. Lineage: Bacteria; Pseudomonadati; Bacteroidota; Flavobacteriia; Flavobacteriales; Flavobacteriaceae.
UAUUGCCACGAGUUGGCAUAAUAGAGAAGUCAGCAGAAGUCAUAGUACCUAAAGGAAACGAGGUGCAGCAAACUGCAUAGGUCUCACAAUUAGGGAAGGAC